This 279-nucleotide unclassified non-coding RNA is filed under the name plant metagenome. RNAcentral describes it as "partial contains small subunit ribosomal RNA, internal transcribed spacer 1, and 5.8S ribosomal RNA". The record is from RNAcentral.
UUUCCGUAGGUGAACCUGCGGAAGGAUCAUUCUUGUAUAAUCGAGGUGCGAGGGCUGUCGCUGACUUGAAAGGUCGUGUAAACCCGAGUGGUCUCACAUACAUACACCUCACCACUUUGUGUACUACUGAGUGUGUCCUCCUUUGGCUUGUUCGGCGGGGGGAUUACGUUUUCACCCAACCUUUGCCUGCAUUGUUGCAUGUAUUUUUAGUUUUUGCGAUGACGCAAUGCAUAUAACUUUCAUCAACGGCUCUCCUGGCUCUCGCAUCGAUGAAGAAUG